This 420-nucleotide ribosomal RNA is filed under the name bacterium. Its description in RNAcentral is "partial 16S ribosomal RNA". It matches the Rfam family "Bacterial small subunit ribosomal RNA", at positions 355 to 776 of the family's 1533-position model. The record is from RNAcentral.
UGGGGGAUAUUGCACAAUGGGCGAAAGCCUGAUGCAGCGACGCCGCGUGGGGGAUGAAGGCUUUCGGGUUGUAAACCUCUUUCGCUAUCGAACAAGGCCCGCUUAGGGUGGGUUGAGGGUAGGUGGAGAAGAAGCGCCGGCUAACUACGUGCCAGCAGCCGCGGUAAUACGUAGGGCGCGAGCGUUGUCCGGAAUUAUUGGGCGUAAAGGGCUUGUAGGCGGCUUGUUGCGCCUGCUGUGAAAACGCGGGGCUUAACUUCGCGCGUGAAGUGGGUACGGGCAGGCUUGAGUGUGGGAGGGGUGACUGGAAUUCCAGGUGUAGCGGUGGAAUGCGCAGAUAUCUGGAGGAACACCGAUGGCGAAGGCAGGUCACUGGGCCAUUACUGACGCUGAGGAGCGAAAGCAUGGGUAGCGAACAGG